CACGUAGGGUGCGAGCGUUGUCCGGAAUUAUUGGGCGUAAAGAGCUCGUAGGCGGUUUGUCGCGUCUGCUGUGAAAUCCCCAGGCUCAACCUGGGAACUGCGUCCGAUACUGGAUGGCUUGAAUUCGGGAGAGGGAUGCAGAAUUCCAGGUGUAGCGGUGAAAUGCGUAGAUAUCUGGAGGAAUACCGGUGGCGAAGGCGGCAUCCUGGACCGACAUUGACGCUGAGGAGCGAAAGCUAGGGGAGCAAACGGG
This 253-nucleotide ribosomal RNA is filed under the name uncultured bacterium. RNAcentral describes it as "partial 16S ribosomal RNA". It matches the Rfam family "Bacterial small subunit ribosomal RNA", at positions 524 to 776 of the family's 1533-position model. The record is from RNAcentral.